Molecule: ribosomal RNA, 494 nt
Filed under: Heyerus bilineatus (two-lined robber frog)
Lineage: Eukaryota; Metazoa; Chordata; Amphibia; Anura; Craugastoridae
Description: partial 12S ribosomal RNA
Source: RNAcentral
AACCAAAAGGGUUCUUUAAACACACAGGCUUGGUCCCGACCUUAAAAUCAAUCUCAUCUCGACCUACACAUGCAAGUUUCCGCCAACCCGUGAGAACGCCCUCUUACUCUUAAAGAGUCUAGGAGCUGGUAUCAGGCCCUCCGCCCAAAACGCCUAGCCUCGCCACACCCACAAGGGCACCCAGCAGUGACUAACAUUGUACAUAAACGCAAGUUUGACCCAGUCAGAGACUACCACCCACAGGGCCGGCAAAUAUGGUGCCAGCCGCCGCGGCUAGACCACAUGGCCCAAAUUGAUUUUCCUCGGCGUAAAGCGUGAUUAAAGACCUAUAAAAUUAGGGUUAAAUCUGAACUCCUCAGUGAUAUCCCUGUUCAUGAGAAACCCGCAACGAAAGUUACCCUAAUAACAACCUUGAAUUCACGACAGCUAAGACACAAACUGGGAUUAGGUACCCCACUAUGCUUAGCCGUAAACUUUAAUUUACUACACCCCCU